RNAcentral lists this ribosomal RNA (374 nucleotides) under uncultured organism. RNAcentral's name for it is "partial 16S ribosomal RNA". It matches the Rfam family "Bacterial small subunit ribosomal RNA", at positions 527 to 896 of the family's 1533-position model. The record is from RNAcentral.
GUAGGUGGCAAGCGUUGUCCGGAAUUAUUGGGCGUAAAGCGCGCGCAGGUGGUUCUUUAAGUCUGAUGUGAAAGCCCCCGGCUCAACCGGGGAGGGUCAUUGGAAACUGGGGAACUUGAGUGCAGGAGAGGAAAGUGGAAUUCCACGUGUAGCGGUGAAAUGCGUAGAUAUGUGGAGGAACACCAGUGGCGAAGGCGACUUUCUGGCCUGUAACUGACACUGAGGCGCGAAAGCGUGGGGAGCAAACAGGGAUUAGAUACCCUGGUAGUCCACGCCGUAAACGAUGAGUGCUAAGUGUUGGGGGGGUUUCCCGCCCCUCAGUGCUGCAGCCAACGCAUUAAGCACUCCGCCUGGGGAGUACGGUCGCAAGACUG